RNAcentral lists this ribosomal RNA (51 nucleotides) under Trichoderma brevicompactum. RNAcentral's name for it is "partial 28S ribosomal RNA". Lineage: Eukaryota; Fungi; Ascomycota; Sordariomycetes; Hypocreales; Hypocreaceae. The record is from RNAcentral.
GUUGACCUCGGAUCAGGUAGGAAUACCCGCUGAACUUAAGCAUAUCAUAAA